UACGGAAGAUCCGAGCGUUAUCCGGAAUUACUGGGCGUAAAGAGUUGCGUAGGUGGCAUGUAAAGCGAGUAGUGAAAGAUCCCGGCUCAACCGGGGGCACAUUAUUCGAACUCACAAGCUAGAGUAUGGGAGAGGUAGAUGGAAUUUCUAGUGUAGGAGUGAAAUCCGUAGAUAUUAGAAGGAACACCGAUGGCGUAGGCAGUCUACUGGCCCAUUACUGACACUAAGGCACGAAAGCGUGGGGAGCGAACGGG
RNAcentral lists this ribosomal RNA (254 nucleotides) under uncultured bacterium. Its description in RNAcentral is "partial 16S ribosomal RNA". It matches the Rfam family "Bacterial small subunit ribosomal RNA", at positions 524 to 776 of the family's 1533-position model. The record is from RNAcentral.